GGUAAUGUGACCGACUAGAAAGGUGGCUGUUUGCAAAGCAGUUUAUUUCGGUGCAAUUCCGGACAUUAUCU
Molecule: transfer RNA, 71 nt
Filed under: Methanobrevibacter ruminantium M1
Lineage: Archaea; Methanobacteriati; Methanobacteriota; Methanobacteria; Methanobacteriales; Methanobacteriaceae
Rfam family: tRNA
About the family: Transfer RNA (tRNA) molecules are approximately 80 nucleotides in length. Their secondary structure includes four short double-helical elements and three loops (D, anti-codon, and T loops).
Source: Rfam by way of RNAcentral